Molecule: long non-coding RNA, 1487 nt
Organism: Prunus dulcis (almond)
Lineage: Eukaryota; Viridiplantae; Streptophyta; Magnoliopsida; Rosales; Rosaceae
Exons: 2
Source: RefSeq, a predicted model, not a curated record
UGCCUCACACAUCUGAUUUACUGUCAAAAUAUAACCACACAUCUCUAAUACAGUAUUCUUCUAUUGCACAUGAAGUUUAUAAAAUCCCAAAAUACAUUUUGUCCAAUAUCCAUUCCUAGCCCAAGCAUCUUCAGCCUUGCUCAGAUGAUGCCUUGAGUCAACCAGAGUCUUGAGCUUUCCUUCAUCAACUUAACAAGGUAGUCCAGAUUCUCACCUUUGGGAUUUAUGAUCAAUUGCACCAGCUCUUUCCUGGAAGCUGAGUCUCUGCAGAACAGAAGUGAUCAAGGUACUUGGGCCGGAAGUAAGGGCCGUAGUUUCAGGGCAUCAUGAGGUAAGGCACAUUCUUUUGUAUUUUGUCUUGAGCUCCAUUGGAGUCUCUGUUGGAUUUCAGGGGACCCUCUGAACUGAAUUGCAAGUUUACUGCAGCAAUACUCGAAAUGUUUUCCUUGUGCAGUCGAUUGUUUUAAUGAUAGAUAGAGAUGGCUUCUAUUAGAUCUCUCAUUGCAGUUAGUGAGGUUCUAAAUAGACCUCAGACAAAUGCACAUUGUUGUUGUCAUCCGUAAAGAUUUUCCGGGGUUAAUAAGGGAGCUGCUGAUUAGAAAGAGCAAAAUGAGCCCGGAUUUGUGGAAAGAACUGAGUUUAUAAAAUCCCAAUAUUUUUACUCUAACUCUAAGUCUCCACAAUGAUCUUCCCAAUAGCAUAGCCAUCAGUUUUCCUAGCCCAAGCAUCUUCAGCCUUGCUCAGAUGGUGCCUUGAGUCAACCAAAGUCUUGAGCUUUCCUUCCUUCAUGAACUCAACAAGAUAGUCCAGAUUCUCACCUUCGGGAUUUAUGAUCAAUGGCACCAGCUGUUUCCUGGAGAAGCUGAGUCUCUGUAGAACAAUAGUGAUCCAGGUACUUGGCCUGGAAGUAAGGUCUAUAACCUUCCCAGUUGCUCUCAAAUUCGGCUCAAAAGUCGACCAAGGAAUGCCUGCUGAUGCACAGUGGAUCACAACAUCAUAUUUUCGACCGGAUGGGCUCUUGAGAGCAGCCCCAUCAGGGGUCUUGUAGUCAAGAACCUCAUCUGCCCCUAGGCUCUUGACAAUGUCAACGUUACGAGCACCGCAAGUGGCGGUAACAUGAGUGUUUCCAAGCUUGGCUAGCUGGACUACAUAGUGCCCGACGCCACCAGAGGCGCCGGUGAUCAGUAUGUUCUUGAGCAGGCCAGUUCCAUCAAGCUUGAUCCCUGCAGCUUUGGUGAGAGCCUGGUGAGCUGUGAGGCCGGAACUAGGCAAGCCUGCGCCUUCAGCUGCUGAAACUUCUGGGGGCCUAGCAGAAGUUAUAAAUGUCUCACUAGCUAUGGCAAACUCAGCUAAUCCACCUCCAUUCUGUCAAUAUGUGUAAAAUCACAUCAAACACAAACUGAGGCUUUCUUGAUGGUAUAUAUGUCAGUAAAAAACAUAUGAAUUUAUAUAUUUGAAACUUACUAUAAAGUUGAGCAUUGCCACAA